Molecule: ribosomal RNA, 469 nt
Filed under: uncultured bacterium
Lineage: Bacteria
Description: partial 16S ribosomal RNA
Rfam family: Bacterial small subunit ribosomal RNA
Source: RNAcentral
GACGAACGCUGGCGGCGUGCUUAACACAUGCAAGUCGAACGGAAAGGCUCCAGCUUGCUGGCGUACUCGAGUGGCGAACGGGUGAGUAACACGUGAGUAACCUGCCCUUGACUUUGGGAUAACUUCAGGAAACUGGGGCUAAUACCGGAUAGGAGAUCCUGCUGCAUGGUGGGGGUUGGAAAGUUUCGGCGGUUGGGGAUGGAAUCGCGGCGUACCCGCUUGUUGGUGGGGUAGUGGAUUACCAAGGUUUUGAGGGGAACGCUGCCAGAGGGAGUGAACGGCGGCAUUGAGACUGAGAGACGGCACAGACUCGGACGGGAGGCAGAAGGGGGGAAUAUUGCACGAGGGGUGGCAGCCGGAUGCAGAAACGCUUCGGGCGGGAUGACGGUCUUAGGGGUGAAAAACGUAUGUGCUCAUGACGGAGCUUUGUGUGACGGUAGUGGGUAAAGAAGCACCGGCUAACUACGUG